ACGCUCGACACCUACGGGAGGCAGCAGUGGGGAAUAUUGCACAAUGGGGGAAACCCUGAUGCAGCAACGCCGCGUGAAGGAAGACGGUUUUCGGAUUGUAAACUUCUGUUCUUAGUGAAGAUAGUGACGGUAGCUAAGGAGCAAGCCACGGCUAACUACGUGCCUGCAGCCGCGGUAAUCUGAGCGGGCUGGCAAGGC
RNAcentral lists this ribosomal RNA (198 nucleotides) under uncultured bacterium. Its description in RNAcentral is "partial 16S ribosomal RNA". It matches the Rfam family "Bacterial small subunit ribosomal RNA", at positions 328 to 539 of the family's 1533-position model. The record is from RNAcentral.